This 462-nucleotide ribosomal RNA is filed under the name Triticum aestivum (bread wheat). Its description in RNAcentral is "partial small subunit ribosomal RNA". The record is from RNAcentral. Lineage: Eukaryota; Viridiplantae; Streptophyta; Magnoliopsida; Poales; Poaceae.
AUGGAUCCAGGGUUAUUAGAUCGCCGCCGCCGCCAGCAUACGGCUGCAGAUGAAGGCCACAACUCUUCUCUCCGGCUAUCCCCGACGCCAACCCACCAUGCCAUGUCCGCCGGACCGACGACGGCCAGGACGACGUCCGGCGUCCAGCGCUGGAACGAGGAGCUCGACCAGGCUGAGCUGGGCGUCCAACCGGACAAGGCAGCAGUCCACACUGGCGAGUGCGUGCAUGGCCCACCCCUCCGCCCACGGCGAUGCGGCUCCUGGCUGCGCAGCCACAGCGUGGAGCAUCCGCGCGUAUGUGUAUGCGUCAGCGGCCACCCUACACGCUGCAUCUUCAUGAAUACGCCUAUUAAAUCCAGACUUGCAGCAAGGCGUCGCCGCGGUACGACCCAUCACGCCCUCUGCAUCCAAUCUCUCUUUCUAACAUCUAAGUGCAUCAGCAGGUUUGAGCAGAGAAUCUAG